AGGGGCAGCAUGAACUUAGCUUGCUGAGUUUGAUGGCGACCGGCGCACGGGUGAGUAACACGUAUCCAACCUGCCGAUGACUCGGGGAUAGCCUUUCGAAAGAAAGAUUAAUACCCGAUGGCAUAGUUCUUCCGCAUGGUAGAACUAUUAAAGAAUUUCGGUCAUCGAUGGGGAUGCGUUCCAUUAGAUAGUAGGCGGGGUAACGGCCCACCUAGUCUUCGAUGGAUAGGGGUUCUGAGAGGAAGGUCCCCACAUUGGUACUGAGACACGGACCAAACUCC
Molecule: ribosomal RNA, 281 nt
Filed under: uncultured Bacteroides sp.
Lineage: Bacteria; Pseudomonadati; Bacteroidota; Bacteroidia; Bacteroidales; Bacteroidaceae
Description: partial 16S ribosomal RNA
Rfam family: Bacterial small subunit ribosomal RNA
Source: RNAcentral